AUGUCGCACAGAGCGGCCGCCGCCCGUGCUGCUGGCCGGCGACGAAAGCCUGCAGGGGGCAAGCCGAUGAAGGGCCGGGCAGGCUUCGUCAGGAGGCCCCGCAGGCAGGUGGGCACCCACAGGCAGGUGGACAUCCACGGGCCGGUAGGCACUCAGAGGCAGGUGGGCACCCACGAGCAGGUGGGCACCCAGAGGCAGGUGGGCACCCGGGGGCAGGUGGGCACCCAAGGACAGGUGGCCACCCGCGGACAGGUGGGUGUAUGGAGGCAGGUGGGCACCCGUGGGCAGGUGGGCACCCAGAGGCAGGUGGGCACCCAGAGGCAGGUGGGCACCCGUGGGCAGGUGGGUACCCACAGGCAGGUGGGCACCCAGAGGCAGGUGGCCACCCGUGGGCAGGUGGGUACCCAGAGGCAGGUGGGCACCCAAGGACAGGUGGCCACCCGUGGACAGGUGGGCGUCCGGAGGCAGGUGGGCACCCUCGGGCCAGCUCCAUGGACUUCCAUCACCCCCCUGCCCGCCCAGUGUCCCCGGCACCCAGCCCCGCAGUGGGACGCCCUCGGCCUUGUCCCCGAAUCUCCCGCCACUGGGGUAGUGCCAUGUCCUGCUCUGCGUUCCGUGUCCUGCGGGGCAGUGGCUCCUGGGCGGGCCGGGCACCUCCUGGGCCGCACAACCACCAGGCUGCGCCCACCGAGCUGCCCAGAAAGCACAGCUGGGGCGCUCCUGAAGCUGCCACCUGCGGCUCUGCGCUGAGGCCCCCUCCUCUCCUCUUGGGGUGUCUGCUGAACCCCAGGACUUUUUCAUCUGUUAUGGGGCUAACAUGUGGGGCCUCCCCACCUGCCCUGGGCUGGCUGCCCAGCCCCUGCACCUGUGCACAUGUGCGCACGACACGCGGGCCAUGACCCUCCACGCAGGACCUGGAGCUCGCAUGUGCCCCAGGUGCCCCAGGAUGGGCCAUGGUGACUCCAAGUCCCAGCCCCACCCAGUCUCGCGAUUCUGGGGAGAGGGCCUGACCUUACCCCCAGGGCCCCGGGCGCACUGAUGUCCUUCUUGGAGGGGCUCAGCACCAUGUCGCUGGGAUGACCUGUUCCAACUUGGUGCCUUGGUGGUCCACGGCCACUCCUGGCACCUGCUUCCAGAAGGUGCGGGGCUUUAUAGGGCCAUCCUGGGCUCACAUGUUGAGUCUCUGGGCCUCCCUCAGCACCCACCAUGCAUGCUGUUCCUUCCACCGAGCACACCCUACCCUGUGGUCCAGGUCCACAGUCAAAUCUUCCCCUGAUACUGCAGGCCCUGCCUUCCCUCCACAGUGCCCGUCAGCCUCAGUCUCCCCUCCCACACAGUGGCCCACAGGCCUCAGGAGAGGCUGGCUGCUAGCUGCACACGGGUGACAAGGGCAUGGGGUGCCUUGGUGACACUGGGAUAGAGGAGCAGCAGAAGAGCAGGGGGAGCAGCAGGAGGAGCAGCAGCGGGAGCAGAGGAGGAGCAGCGGAGGAGCAACAGGAGGAGCAGAGGAGGAGCAGCGGAGGAGCAGCAGAGGAGCAACAGGAGGAGCAGGAGGAGGGGAGGCAGGAGGAGGAGGAGCAGGGGGGGCAAGCAGGAGAGGAGAGGGAGGGGGAGGAGGGGAGGGAGAGGAGGGAGGAGCAGCAGGAGGAGCAGCAGCAGGAGGAGGAGGAGGGAGCAGAGAGCAGGAGAGGAGGGAGGAGGAGGGGAGGAGGGGGGGAGGAGGAGGCAGCAGGGGGGAGAGAGCAGCAGGGAGAAGAGG
This 1759-nucleotide long non-coding RNA is filed under the name Canis lupus familiaris (dog). RNAcentral's name for it is "lncRNA (ENSCAFG00845030830.1)". The record is from RNAcentral. Lineage: Eukaryota; Metazoa; Chordata; Mammalia; Carnivora; Canidae.